This 1209-nucleotide long non-coding RNA is filed under the name Brachypodium distachyon (stiff brome). Its description in RNAcentral is "long non-coding RNA (BDIS_LNC000279)". The record is from RNAcentral. Lineage: Eukaryota; Viridiplantae; Streptophyta; Magnoliopsida; Poales; Poaceae.
CCGGGGCGACAUCUCUGACUGACUCGAGUGUUAGCAUCUUUUGGGGGUUUGGUUAGAAGCAACAGCAGCAGGAAUCUGCAUCCAAAGAGCCCGAGCAUACCGAACACUCACGUGUUCCGGUCUCCAUGUUCUGUUUCUCUUUUCUUCCCAAUGCAGACACAUACGGGUUUUCAUUCAGUCGUCAUGCAUCAGCCAAGCCCUACUCACUCACCUUCAGAUCGACACGAAGUGCCGAAGUGGCAAUCUAUCAGACCACGUAAACUUGAAAAGGAAACACACACGCGUGCUUUCAGAAAUCGCGUGGAACACGUGGCGAUCUCUCUCGCUGUCUCCUGUCAUGGACUCAUGUGUUACUGGCCAUCGCGACAGGCAGGUAGAGCUAGCUAGCACCAUCAGCUGCUUAGCCGGGGGUGUGGAACACGUGUACACGUUGCGUGCAUAGGGAAGUGUUGGCCUCUGCGCAAGAAAACAAUUUUCACCAGAGAUCUUAUGAUAUAUUCGAAAAAGGUUUGUAACACUUUGUAGCCGUCCAUGUCAUCAAAAUAACCACUAAGCCAAAUCUUCCUGGGCGCGCGCAACUGGGAGUACGCAAUCCGCUACUCCUUCGGUCCCAUAAUUUUUGUCGUAAUUUUAAUUAGUUCAAAUUUCUUGUGGACGCCGAAGGUUUCUCCGUCGCAUAGUCCACGCAUCUGAAGAUAUUCUGGCGAUAUACUCCGUACUACAUUAAGGCAACAACGAUCGAUAUUGUAGUCUUGUGUUUUCGACAGCGAAUAUUAGUACAACCCCUCUGGUCACGGAAUAUUUUUUUUCCAAAACAUGUGGCCAUUGAUUGGAAUGCAUAACUUGUGCCAAAUCUCCGGAUAAUUCCCGUUUAUCCUUAGCUUUUUCUUUAUCCUGAAAGCCAGAGAGAAACAGGUAAACUAAGCCAGAAGCAACCUCCAAUUUUAUUUUUUAUUUUUUUGAAAGCACCUCCAAUUUUAUUUUAAUUCACACUAACAACGCAUUACUAGUAUACACUGAAAGCUCACAUUGUAUAAUGUUUUCCAGCCAUGCUGUUCGUCAGUGGCUUCCUUUUCCUUAAACAGAAACCAACUGUCGUUUGUGGAACAGGCCAGGGCAAUGUUAAUUUUUUUUCCGGGUGAUCCUAGUGCGUUGCCACGUCCUCUUAAACAUGUGCACACGAAAAUUCAUGUUUAUACAAAACAUAAC